GCGUUCGGGUGAACUAUGGUUAAGGAACUCGGCAAAAUGCCCCCGUAACUUCGGGAGAAGGCUUCCCCGGCCC
Molecule: ribosomal RNA, 73 nt
Filed under: Streptomyces sp. FT05W
Lineage: Bacteria; Bacillati; Actinomycetota; Actinomycetes; Kitasatosporales; Streptomycetaceae
Description: partial 23S ribosomal RNA
Source: RNAcentral